Molecule: non-coding RNA, 104 nt
Organism: Acanthosepion pharaonis
Lineage: Eukaryota; Metazoa; Mollusca; Cephalopoda; Sepiida; Sepiidae
Source: the annotation of a GenBank genome assembly
UUACGGCCAUAUCACGUUGAAACAUCGGUCCCCGUACGAGCACUGAAGUUAAGCAUCGUCGAGCCUGAUCAAUGUCGGGUGACCGCUUGGGAAUACCACGUGCU